RNAcentral lists this long non-coding RNA (764 nucleotides) under Vitis vinifera (wine grape). Its description in RNAcentral is "long non-coding RNA (VVIN_LNC004905)". Lineage: Eukaryota; Viridiplantae; Streptophyta; Magnoliopsida; Vitales; Vitaceae. The record is from RNAcentral.
UCCUCUUCUUGCCCCUCAUUACUUGGCCUCCCAUAACUAGGCCUCCUCGGUGGCUCCUCCACCUCCGGACUCUCGUAGCUCGGCCUCCCAUACUGUGGCUUCCUGGGGGACCCUUCCCCACCAUAACCAUACCCGCCACCUUGUUCCUCUCCGAAGCUAGGUUUCCGACCGUACCCAGAUCCAUAUUCAGAACUCGGUGCUUCGUACUCAGGCCUCCGACCAUACCCAGAUCCAUACUCCGAACUGGGCUGCUCGAACUCGGGCCUCCGACCAUACCCAGAUCCAUACUCCGAACUAGGUUGCUCGUAUUCAGGCUUCCGACCGUACCCAGAUCCAUAUUCCGUGCUAGGCUGUUCGUAUUCAGGCUUCCGACCGUACCCAGAUCCAUAUUCCGAGCUAGGCUGUUCGUAUUCAGGCUUCCGACCGUACCCAGAUCCAUAUUCCGAGCUAGGCUGUUCGUAUUCAGGCUUCCGACCGUAGCCAGAUCCAUAUUCCGAGCUAGGCUGUUCGCAUUCAGGCUUCCGACCGUACCCGGAUCCGUACUCCGAACUGGGUUCCUCGUAAUCAGGCUUCCGCCCAUGCCCAGAUCCAUACUCACCCUCCCCACCAAAACUCGACGGCGGCUUCGGCUGAUACCCAUACUCACCACCAUCACCACUGCCUCCGAACCCUCCUUGGCCAGGAGGUGGUCCGGCGUAACCAAGGACCGGACGAGGCUUGGGACGAGCAUAGCUCUUGUAUUCAUUCUCAAGAGCUUCAUCACC